Molecule: ribosomal RNA, 467 nt
Filed under: uncultured Streptococcus sp.
Lineage: Bacteria; Bacillati; Bacillota; Bacilli; Lactobacillales; Streptococcaceae
Description: bacterial SSU rRNA
Rfam family: Bacterial small subunit ribosomal RNA
Source: RNAcentral
ACGGGGCCCGCACAAGCGGUGGAGCAUGUGGUUUAAUCGAAGCAACGCGAAGAACCUUACCAGGUCUUGACAUCCGAUGCUAUUUCUAGAGAUAGAAAGUUACUUCGGUACAUCGGUGACAGGUGGUGCAUGGUUGUCGUCAGCUCGUGUCGUGAGAUGUUGGGUUAAGUCCCGCAACGAGCGCAACCCCUAUUGUUAGUUGCCAUCAUUCAGUUGGGCACUCUAGCGAGACUGCCGGUAAUAAACCGGAGGAAGGUGGGGAUGACGUCAAAUCAUCAUGCCCCUUAUGACCUGGGCUACACACGUGCUACAAUGGUUGGUACAACGAGUUGCGAGUCGGUGACGGCGAGCUAAUCUCUUAAAGCCAAUCUCAGUUCGGAUUGUAGGCUGCAACUCGCCUACAUGAAGUCGGAAUCGCUAGUAAUCGCGGAUCAGCACGCCCGCGGUCGAAUACGUUCCCGGGCCUU